CUGCUGCCUUCCGUAGGAGUUUGGUCCGUGUCUCAGUACCAAUGUGGGGGGUUGACCUCUCAGUCCCCCUAUGUAUCGUCGCCUUGGUGAGCCGUUACCUCACCAACUAGCUAAUACAACGCAUGUCCAUCUCUGACCACCUGAGUUUUCAACCACCGAAGAUGCCUCCGGUGAUGUUAUGGGGUAUUAGUACCAAUUUCUCGAUGUUAUCCCCCUGUCAAAGGUAGGUUACAUACGCGCUACGCACCCGUCCGCCGGUCGCCGG
RNAcentral lists this ribosomal RNA (265 nucleotides) under uncultured bacterium. RNAcentral's name for it is "partial 16S ribosomal RNA". The record is from RNAcentral.